GACGAACCGUGCGAACGUUGUUCGGAUUCACUGGGCUUAAAGGGCGCGUAGGCGGGCGUUCUUGUCCGGGGUGAAAGCCCACGGCUUAACCGUGGAAGUGCCUCGGAAACGGGACGCCUCGAGGGGGGUAGGGGCCUGCGGAACUUCCGGUGGAGCGGUGAAAUGCGUAGAUAUCGGAAGGAACGCCGGUGGCGAAAGCGGCGGGCUGGACCCCUUCUGACGCUGAGGCGCGAAAGCCAGGGGAGCAAACGGG
This 253-nucleotide ribosomal RNA is filed under the name uncultured bacterium. RNAcentral describes it as "partial 16S ribosomal RNA". It matches the Rfam family "Bacterial small subunit ribosomal RNA", at positions 524 to 776 of the family's 1533-position model. The record is from RNAcentral.